UGGGUUUGACAUAUACCGGAAAGCCGUAGAGAUACGGCCCCCCUUGUGGUCGGUAUACAGGUGGUGCAUGGCUGUCGCCAGCUCGUGUCGUGAGAUGUUGCGGCACUUAAGCCAACACCUCACGGCACGAGCUGACGACAGCCAUGCAGCACCUGUGCUAGCCCCUUACGGACACGGGCUUUCACAGGGUUUAACCAGCAUGUCAAGCCCAGGUAAGGUUCUUCGCGUUGCAUCGAAUUAAGCCACAUGCUCCGCCGCUUGUGCGGGUCCCCGUCAAUUCCUUUGAGUUUUAGCCUUGCGGCCGUACUCCCCAGGCGGAGUGCUUAAUGCGUUAGCUGCGGCACAGAGAGGGUUGAAGACCUCCCCACACCUAGCACUCAACGUUUACGGCUGGGACUAC
This 400-nucleotide unclassified non-coding RNA is filed under the name uncultured Actinomycetes bacterium. RNAcentral's name for it is "uncultured actinobacterium contains 16S-23S intergenic spacer region". Lineage: Bacteria; Bacillati; Actinomycetota; Actinomycetes. The record is from RNAcentral.